This is an RNA transcript of Columba livia (rock pigeon), 4034 nucleotides long. It is a transcript of the gene named adaptor related protein complex 3 subunit beta 1, with no coding region annotated. Lineage: Eukaryota; Metazoa; Chordata; Aves; Columbiformes; Columbidae. The record is from RefSeq and is a predicted model, not a curated record. The transcript has 28 exons.
UGCUGGCGCGUGCCCGCCGCUUCCGGGGGGCGGUCCGGGCCGCGCCGUGCGGGUAAGUUUGGCGGAGCGGGCGGGGAGCGGCCGUGGCGGCGACAUGUUCGGCAACGGGCUCAGCUACAGCGAGCAGGGGGGAGAGGCGGCGCCCGAGCUGGUGCAGGAGGCAGCGCCCACCACGACACCUUCGGCUCCCGCGGCCUUCGGGCUCUUCAGCAGCGACACCAAGAAAAAUGAAGACCUAAAACAGAUGUUGGAAAGCAGUAAAGAUUCUGCAAAGCUGGAUGCUAUGAAGAGGAUUGUUGGGAUGAUUGCAAAAGGCAAAAAUGCUUCUGAGCUCUUUCCUGCUGUUGUGAAGAAUGUUGCCAGUAAAAAUAUUGAGAUAAAAAAGCUUGUAUAUGUUUAUCUGAUGCGUUAUGCAGAGGAGCAACAAGAUCUAGCAUUGUUAUCCAUCAGUACUUUCCAGCGUGCUUUAAAAGAUCCUAAUCAGUUAAUCCGCGCAAGUGCCUUAAGAGUUUUAUCCAGUAUCCGAGUCCCAAUUAUUGUUCCUAUUAUGAUGCUUGCUAUUAAAGAAGCCUCUUCUGAUUUAUCUCCUUACGUGAGGAAGAACGCAGCCCAUGCAAUCCAAAAACUGUACAGUCUUGAUCCAGAGCAAAAGGAAAUGUUAAUUGAAGUGAUAGAAAAGCUUUUGAAGGAUAGAAGUACGCUGGUAGCUGGGAGCGUUGUGAUGGCAUUUGAGGAAGUGUGUCCAGACAGAAUAGAUCUGAUUCACAAGAACUACCGAAAGCUUUGUAACUUGUUGGUUGACGUGGAGGAGUGGGGUCAAGUUGUGAUAAUCCACAUGCUAACUCGAUAUGCACGUACACAGUUUGUAAGCCCAUGGAAGAAUGAUGAGGUGGUAGAAGAAUAUAGUGAAAAUAAUUUCUAUGAAUCUGAUGAAGAACAGAAAGAAAAGGAUCGGAAGGUGAAAAACACCUACACUAUGGACCCAGAUCACAGGCUGCUGUUACGAAAUACGAAGCCCUUACUUCAAAGCCGAAAUGCUGCUGUGGUAAUGGCAGUUGCACAGCUUUACUGGCAUUCAGCACCAAAAUCUGAAGCUGGUCUUGUUUCUAAAUCCUUGGUGCGUUUACUGCGUAGUAAUAGGGAGGUGCAGUAUAUUGUUCUGCAAAAUAUUGCCACGAUGUCAAUUCAGAGGAAGGGCAUGUUUGAACCUUAUAUGAAGAGUUUCUAUGUUAGAUCAACUGAUCCAACAAUGAUCAAAACACUGAAGCUUGAAAUCUUGACAAAUUUAGCAAAUGAAGCCAACAUAUCUACGCUGCUUCGAGAAUUUCAGACUUACGUGAAAAGCCAAGAUAAACAGUUUGCUGCAGCUACAAUUCAGGCUAUAGGCAGAUGUGCAACUAACAUCACCGAAGUGACUGACACAUGCCUUAAUGGCCUCGUAUGUUUGCUGUCCAACAGGGAUGAAAUUGUAGUUGCUGAAAGUGUUGUUGUCAUUAAGAAACUGCUGCAAACCCAGCCAGCGCACCAUGGUGAAAUUAUUAAGCAUAUGGCCAAACUCUUGGAUAACAUUACAGUUCCGGUAGCCAGAGCCAGUAUUCUCUGGCUUAUCGGUGAAUAUUGUGAACGAGUUCCGAAGAUCGCACCUGAUGUCUUGAGAAAGACAGCCAAGACCUUCACCAAUGAAGACGAUCUUGUGAAGUUACAGAUCUUAAAUUUGGGCACGAAACUCUAUUUAACAAACUCAAAGCAGACAAAAUUGCUUACCCAGUAUGUAUUAAAUCUCGGCAAGUAUGAUCAAAGCUACGACAUCAGAGACCGUACAAGAUUUAUUAGGCAGCUUAUUGUUCCGAAUGAGAAGAGUGGAGCUUUAAGCAAAUAUGCCAAAAAAAUUUUUCUGGCACAGAAACCUGCCCCAUUGCUUGAGUCUCCUUUUAAAGAUCGGGAUCAUUUCCAGCUUGGCACCUUGUCUCACACGCUGAACAGCCGAGCCACUGGCUACCUGGAGCUGUCCGAUUGGCCAGAGGUGGCACCUGACCCCUCUGUCCGAAAUGUCGAUGUAGCCGAGUCGGCAAAGGAAUGGACUGGAAUUCUAGGUAAGACGAAGAAAGAGAAACCUGCUGAAAAGUUCUACUCUGAAUCAGAAGAGGAGGAAGAUGAAUCUGCCAGUACCAGUUCAUCAGAGAGCGAGUCUGGGAGUGAAAGUGAGAAGGAAGAUAAGGAGGAAGGCAGCAGUGAUGACAGUAGUGGAAGUUCUUCCAGUGAAGCAUCUAGUGACACUGAAUCAGAGAGCAAAGAAAGUGCUGCAAAGAAAACAUCUAGAGCUGCUGAUGAAAGUGAUUCAGAGAACAUUAAAAGGAAAGCAAAGGGGAUCUCCAAAGAAAGCAGCACAUCUGGUUCCUCUGAUACAGAGUCCGUUUCAUCAGAAGAAAGUUCUUCAGACUCCAAGUCAGAAUCAGACUCAAAAAGUGACUUUGAAUCUGGAAAAUCUAGAAGUCCUACCUCUAGUAAGAAAGAAGAAAAACCAGUACAAGAUAGAAAAGCUCCAAAUAAACAAGAUGUUUAUCUUUUAGAUUUAGAUGACUUCUGUCCUGUGACAACUCCUGUGGCAGUUCCAACAGCAGCUGUUUUGUCCCCAAGUGUAACAGCUGACCUAGAGGGAUUAAGUCUUUCAAGUUCAUCAGUCAUUGAUGUCACUACCCAAGUCUCUGUGCCAACAAAAACACAUGAACUGCUUCAUCGAAUGAGUGGAAAAGGAUUAGCAGCUCAUUAUCACUUCUCAAGACAACCAGGCAUUUUUGGUGAUCGUAUGGUGUUUGUGCAAGUGACAGUAACAAAUACAACUGAUCAGAAGAUAGAGAAUAUUCACAUCAAGGAGAAGAAAUUGCCUCCAGGCAUGAGGAUGCAUGAGUUUAAUCCAAUAGAGUGCCUUGAGCCUGCAGGAUCCAUCACCGUUUCAAUGGGUAUUGACUUCUGUGAUUCUACUCAGAUGGCCAGUUUCCAGUUAUGCACAAAGGAUGAUUGUUUUGAUGUUAACAUUCAACCCCCUGUUGGAGAACUACUUUUGCCUGUGACUAUGUCUGAGAAAGACUUUAAGAAGGAACAAGCCUGCCUCUCUGCUUUAUACCUGCUCAGCAAACCAAGGGAUGCUGACAGGAAUGAAUGAGACAUCUGCUACAAUAGCUGUUGCUCCGCAGAACUCUACUAGACUUGUAAUAAUUGAGAGAAUAGUGAAAGCAGCAAACCUGGGUGUAGUCCCUUCUGGUCACGAUAACAUACUCAGGUUUGCAGCUAAGACUGUGCACAGUGGGUCACUGAUGCUCGUCACAGUGGAGAUGAAGGAGAGCUCUACAGCACAGCUCAUCAUAAACACCGAGAAAACCGUGAUUGGUUCUGUUCUGCUGCGGGAGCUGAAGCCUGUCCUGUCCCAGGGGUAACCUGCUUACAUCUGGACUUCAGAAUCUGGCACACAACAAAAGUGCCUGGCAUCCACUACUGCUGCCUUUCAUUUAUAAUAAUAGCCCUUCCAUCUGGCAGUGGGGGAAGAAUACACUCUUGACAUUCUUGUCUUCUGCUUUAGAAUGCUAGUGUGUAUCUAUCAUGUAUGCAAGUUGUUUCCUUUUAUUCUGCUUGCUAACCAAAGAACAUAUAUUUUACUGUCACUUAUCUGCGCUUUAAAAUGUAUUUCCCAUUUGAUUUACCCUAGUCCUUCCCUCUCUGCUCCCUUCCCCUGCUACCUUUCUUCCCCAUCAGUUUUCCCCACUGUAGUGGACAAAUACUAGAUAAUAAAGUUCAAGGGAAAUCACACUGCUUGAAAACUGAAUUAAAAUGGCAGGUAGGUUCCAGCAGCAUAUACAAAAACCAUGUGGUUCAGAGAGGUUUUUCUGCAUAAGUGUAAAAAUACAGUAAGUACAGCAAAAUGAUGUUUGCUUUCUGUAAAUGAUUGUAGACCUGAACAUGUCUAUUAACAUUGUUCCACCUACUGCCAGUUUCUCAAAUAUUUCUGUUAAGAUGCCAAUAAAGUAGUGCUAAGAGCA